Thalassophryne amazonica is the source of this 364-nucleotide long non-coding RNA. RefSeq lists it as uncharacterized. NCBI's taxonomy places the organism in Eukaryota, Metazoa, Chordata, Actinopteri, Batrachoidiformes, Batrachoididae. The record is from RefSeq and is a predicted model, not a curated record. The transcript has 3 exons.
UUCUCUUUAGUCCAGUCAAUGUGUUCUUUGGCAAAUUGUAACUUCUUCAACAAGUCAUUUCUUCAACAAUGAGACACUGCAGGAGUUUCUUGUCCAUAGCUUGGCUUCACAUAGGUAUCUUCUAAUUGUUACAGUACUCACAGGUAACUUUAGACAUUCUUUGAUCCCCCUGGAACUGAUCAUUGUCUGAGUCUUUGCCAUUCUGGCUAUUCUUUGAUCCAUUCGAAUGGUGGUUUCCGUUUUCUUCCACAUCUUUCUGGUUUUGGUUUGCCAUUUUAAAGCUUUUGAGAUGAUUUUAGCUGAGUAGACUGCCAUUUUCUGCACUUCUUUAUACCUUUUCCCCUCUCCAAUCAACUUUUUAAUC